GAUGAACGCUGGCGGCGUGCCUAAUACAUGCAAGUCGAGCGAACGGACGAGAAGCUUGCUUCUCUGAUGUUAGCGGCGGACGGGUGAGUAACACGUGGAUAACCUACCUAUAAGACUGGGAUAACUUCGGGAAACCGGAGCUAAUACCGGAUGAUAUUUUGAAACGAAUGGUUCAAAAGUGAAAGACGGUCUUGCUGUCACUUAUAGAUGGAUCCGCGCUGCAUUAGCUAGUUGGUAAGGUAACGGCUUACCAAGGCAACGAUGCAUAGCCGACCUGAGAGGGUGAACCGCCACACUGGAACUGAGACACGGUCCAGACUCCUACGGGAGGCAGCAGUAGGGAAUCUUCCGCAAUGGGCGAAAGCCUGACGGAGCAACGCCGCGUGAGUGAUGAAGGUCUUCGGAUCGUAAAACUCUGUUAUUAGGGAAGAACAUAUGUGUAAGUAACUGUGCACAUCUUGACGGUACCUAAUCAGAAAGCCACGGCUAACUACGUG
This 497-nucleotide ribosomal RNA is filed under the name uncultured bacterium. RNAcentral's name for it is "partial 16S ribosomal RNA". It matches the Rfam family "Bacterial small subunit ribosomal RNA", at positions 28 to 507 of the family's 1533-position model. The record is from RNAcentral.